Nomascus leucogenys (northern white-cheeked gibbon) is the source of this 1470-nucleotide long non-coding RNA. RefSeq lists it as uncharacterized. Lineage: Eukaryota; Metazoa; Chordata; Mammalia; Primates; Hylobatidae. The transcript has 3 exons. The record is from RefSeq and is a predicted model, not a curated record.
AGACUCCAUCUCAAAAAAAAAAAAAAAAAAAAGAAAAAAAGAAAAGAAAAAAGAAACUAAACAAAUACAUUAUUUACUAAAGGAGUAAAUAAGUGUGACAACCAGUGGUGUCCUUAUUCUGUAUCACCAUCUUCAAAGAAUGCUUGUGUGCCUUCAAAUUUAUGACAUUUUCCUCUCACCUCUUAGUGGUGAAGAAACUGAAAUAUUGACCCCAUCCCCCAAAAUUAAUAAGUUAAGUGUAAGUGGUACCUGUGGUCCAUUUGAAAGGGAAUAUCUGAAUGGAAUGGGAGGACAGGCACCUAUUCUCAGCAGGCAGAAAGGGUACUUGUCAACAGGUAAUAUGGGAAAGCUAAGAAAUAUUAAGACUUUAUUUUUCCCUAUAGUCUGCCUUUCUGUGUUCCCAAUUCUUUACACUGCUAUGUAAUUUUAUGGAAUAUGAUUCUCAAUUAGGAAACUUGAACAAAGACAAAAAAAUGGUAAGAGACUGUCUUCUAAAUAUAUCCUUAGUUCUUCAGGCAGCAAUUUAAUUUCACUUAAAAGAAAGAACAAAGGCAUGUCAAUGUUUUGGAAUGAGGCUAGCCGAGGACUUUCACUGGCACUCUUUUUAGAACUAGACCAUUGGGGAAGUUGCAAUGUUACAUAAUGCUAUGCUUCUCAUUGCCAUAGAGAAGCAGCAGCUGCUUUGAGACUUUAGAAAAUCAGCAGUGACUUGAACUCGGUGUUGCUUGUGUCCAGAAAAUUCCAGGCACUUUGUCAAUUUUUUUUCUUCAUUUUCAAAUUAUCCUUUUGAGGAAAAUACAAAGGAGUAAUCCCAUUAUCUCUAUUUUAGAGAUAAUUAAGCUGAAUUUCAAGAGGUUUGUUGUCUUGCUUCAAGUUGUCCAUUAGCAGAAUGGAGAAAAAAAUCUUGCUUUCUGUCUUUCCCAGACUGAUUCUCUAUUGUAGCUUCUCUUUGGCUGUUGAUACAAUAUCAAAUAUUUUGUAUGUACAUGAAAAAUUUGAAAUUUCAUCUAUUUCACUAGUUUACCGAAUCCCUGCCUUUCACUGCUGACCAAGGUUAGAACUAAUAUAAAACAAUUUCCUUUAGAAUUCUUAGUGAAUAUUUUUUGCCACUCAGGCUAAAACACCACUGAUAAUUUUUACUCUGUCUUGUAUAUGUAUAAAUAACAGAAUAGAAAGGAAUAUGGGAGGUACAUGAUAUGGAAUGAGACACAUCUUGACUAAAAUAUUUUAGUUUAGAGCAAAUUUGCUCUGAUCAUGGUUAUUCAAAGGAUCUGUUUAUUUGUAUGUGGCAUGAUGGUGUGUGUAACCUCAUAAACAAAUGCAGAGCCUGGGAAUAAGAAAGAUGACUUAUGGUCUCACCUCCAAGGUUUUGACUCUGACAAAGUCCUAGAACCUCCCCCUUUCAUAGUUUCUCUCUCUCUCAUAUAUAUAUAUAUAUAUAUAUAUAUAUAUAUAUAUAUAUAUAUAGGU